This 512-nucleotide long non-coding RNA is filed under the name Capra hircus (goat). RNAcentral describes it as "lncRNA (ENSCHIG00000008036.1)". Lineage: Eukaryota; Metazoa; Chordata; Mammalia; Artiodactyla; Bovidae. The record is from RNAcentral.
CAUUCAGUGAAGCGCUCUCUCCUAAAACCCAACUUACAGUGUGAUUUGGUUUGCGGCACUAAUUGUGAACUAAGAGUGUAUGUAAGAAACAUAGAACAUGUUUUCUUAAUAGUAGGGGCAGCAUUUUUCUCCAUUUACUCGUGGCCAUCUGGUUUUCUCCUAUUGUCCAUGAUACUCUUACAUAUCAUGCUUUGGAUCAAAAAUUAUGUGUAGCUACCAUGGUAGCCUUCUCAGACAUGGCCUGUAAAGUAGCUCUGAACCUAAGAGUGAUAGAACCCUGGACAAGUUCAUUAACCUCUGAGACUUCCUGCCUCAACUCUUAAAGAGUGGAGAGCUAUAACAACCACCUGUCAAGAUGAGGAGUCAGCCAGGACUGCAGGACAGAUGGGUCAACACAAGCAGACUGAGGCAAGCACGGUGCAUGAGGAAGCUUUUCCCAUUUUCCAUUUCUUCCUUUUAUAACUUUUAACCUCUUAACAUUUAAACUUUUCCCAUGAUUCUUAUUCCUGUGG